This is a ribosomal RNA of 704 nucleotides. The stretch from base 331 to 484 matches the Rfam family "5.8S ribosomal RNA".
CGUCAAUCCCCUGGGUUUGGAGGAUAACUGUAUUCCCCCCUCUGAGAGAAAUCCUUAUCGCUUGCAACUUGUUCCGAGGGAUUUUUGUUAUAGGAAAAUUAAAAAAUAACAAGGUUUCCGUAGGUGAACCUGCGGAAGGAUCAUUACAGUAUUCUUUUGCCAGCGCUUAACUGCGCGGCGAAAAACCUUACACACAGUGAUUUUCUUUUCUUUGAAAACAUUGCUUUGGUCUGGCGCAAGUUGGGCCAAAGAUUUAUUAAACUUCAAUAUUUUUAUUGAAUUGUUAUUUUAACCAUAGUCAAUUUGUUGAUUAAAUUCAAAAAUCUUCAAAACUUUCAACAACGGAUCUCUUGGUUCUCGCAUCGAUGAAGAACGCAGCGAAUUGCGAUACGUAAUAUGAAUUGCAGAUUUUCGUGAAUCAUCGAAUCUUUGAACGCACAUUGCGCCCUUUGGUAUUCCAGAGGGCAUGCCUGUUUGAGCGUCAUUUCUCUCUCAAAUCUUCGGAUUUGGUAUUGAGUGAUACUCUUAGUCGGACUAGGCGUUUGCUUGAAAAGUAUUGGCAAGAGUGGUACUGAGAAGUGCUAAACUGUUUCAAUGUAUUAGGUUUAUCCAACUCGUUGAAUCUGAUUAGUAGUGAUCUGUGCUUAGGCUCGGCCUUACAACAACAAACAAAGUUGACCUCAAAUCAGGUAGAUGGGUUGCAU